RNAcentral lists this transfer RNA (69 nucleotides) under Blommersia blommersae (Ambrana Madagascar frog). RNAcentral's name for it is "tRNA-Pro". It matches the Rfam family "tRNA". From Rfam's summary of the family: Transfer RNA (tRNA) molecules are approximately 80 nucleotides in length. Their secondary structure includes four short double-helical elements and three loops (D, anti-codon, and T loops). Further hydrogen bonds mediate the characteristic L-shaped molecular structure. tRNAs have two regions of fundamental functional importance: the anti-codon, which is responsible for specific mRNA codon recognition, and the 3' end, to which the tRNAs corresponding amino acid is attached (by aminoacyl-tRNA synthetases). tRNAs cope with the degeneracy of the genetic code in two manners: having more than one tRNA (with a specific anti-codon) for a particular amino acid; and 'wobble' base-pairing, i.e. permitting non-standard base-pairing at the 3rd anti-codon position. The record is from RNAcentral. Lineage: Eukaryota; Metazoa; Chordata; Amphibia; Anura; Mantellidae.
CAAGACAUAAUUUAAGAAGAAUAUUGGCUUUGGGGGUCAAAAGUAAGGGUUAAAUUCCUUUUGUCUUGA